GCGGCUGUAGCCCAAAGGCAGAGGCGGAAGACUUAAAAUCUUCAAAGUGUGGGUUCGAGUCCCACCAGCCGUA
This 73-nucleotide transfer RNA is filed under the name bacterium. RNAcentral's name for it is "tRNA-Leu". It matches the Rfam family "tRNA". Rfam says of the family: Transfer RNA (tRNA) molecules are approximately 80 nucleotides in length. Their secondary structure includes four short double-helical elements and three loops (D, anti-codon, and T loops). The record is from RNAcentral.